Molecule: non-coding RNA, 31 nt
Filed under: Rattus norvegicus (Norway rat)
Lineage: Eukaryota; Metazoa; Chordata; Mammalia; Rodentia; Muridae
Source: RNAcentral
UCUUCUCAGGCACAACGCUCACCCUGUGGAG